CUCCUACGGGAGGCACCCAGAGACGAAUAUUGGUCAAUGGACGCAAGUCUGAACCAGCCAUGCCGCGUGCAUGAAGACGGCUCUAUGAAUUGUAAACUGCUUUUGUACGAGGGUAAACUCACCUACUUGUAGGUGACUGAAAGUAUCGUACGAAUAAGGAUCGGCUAACUCCGUGCCAGCAGCCGCGGUAAUACGGAGGAUUCAAGCGUUAUCCGGAUUUAUUGGGUUUAAAGGGGUGCGUAGGCGGUUUGAUAAGUUAGAGGUGAAAUCCCGGGGCUUAACUCCGGAACUGCCUCUAAUACUGUUAGCACAUAGAGAGUAGUUGCGGUAGGCGGAAUGUAUGGUGUAGCGGUGAAAUGCUUAGAGAUCAUACAGAACACCGAUUGCGAAGGCAGCUUACCAAACUAUAUCUGACGUUGAGGCACGAAAGCGUGGGGAGCAAACAGGAUUAGAUACCCUGGUAGUCCACGCAGUAAACGAUGAUAACUCGUUGUCGGCGAUACACAGUCGGUGACUAAGCGAAAGCGAUAAGUUAUCCACCUGGGGAGUACGUUCGCUAGAAUGAAACUCAAAGGAAUUGACGGGGGCCCGCACAAGCGGAGGAACAUGUGGUUUAAUUCAAUGAUACUGCGAUAAAUCUUACCCGGGCUUGAAAGUUACUGACGAUUCUGGAAACAGGAUUUUCCUUUGGGGCAGGAAACUACGGUGCUGAUGGUCCGACGUUACCUCUAGCACUCAGGUGUCCAGGAGUUGACCUUGAAGAUUGCUCCCUAUACAGUCAGAUUCUUCCCUGUCAUUCUUGCCCUUCUUAAGGGACUAGCAUUAUGAACUUUAUAGGAUCAUAGGGAAUCCUCGCCAAUGCGCCCCGUCUCUCCUUUUGCGGUCUUAUUUGUCCGCUCAACCGCUAUUUUUCAUUUGGUUUACUUCUCGCUAAUAAGUAGGUUUCUCGUUAUUUAAUUAGUUAUGUAGUUCUGUUGAUUUUUCGAGGUUGUACCUAUUUUUAAGUGAUGAUCUUCUCUAUUAUUAUCUAAUCAGUUCCUUUACCCUUUAUUUCACUUU
Molecule: ribosomal RNA, 1059 nt
Filed under: uncultured bacterium
Lineage: Bacteria
Description: bacterial SSU rRNA
Rfam family: Bacterial small subunit ribosomal RNA
Source: RNAcentral